RNAcentral lists this ribosomal RNA (253 nucleotides) under uncultured bacterium. Its description in RNAcentral is "partial 16S ribosomal RNA". It matches the Rfam family "Bacterial small subunit ribosomal RNA", at positions 524 to 776 of the family's 1533-position model. The record is from RNAcentral.
UACGGAGGGUGCAAGCGUUGUCCGGAUUUAUUGGGUUUAAAGGGUGCGUAGGUGGCUUUUUAAGUCAGUGGUGAAAGCCUGCAGCUUAACUGUAGGACUGCCAUUGAUACUGAAGAGCUUGAGUACUGAUGAGGUAGGCGGAAUUGAUAGUGUAGCGGUGAAAUGCAUAGAUAUUAUCAAGAACACCGAUUGCGAAGGCAGCUUACUAAGGAGUUACUGACACUGAGGCACGAAAGCGUGGGGAUCAAACAGG